GACGAACGCUGGCGGCGUGCUUAACACAUGCAAGUCGAACGAAGAGCGAUGGAAGCUUGCUUCUAUCAAUCUUAGUGGCGAACGGGUGAGUAACGCGUAAUCAACCUGCCCUUCAGAGGGGGACAACAGUUGGAAACGACUGCUAAUACCGCAUACGAUCUAAUCUCGGCAUCGAGGAUAGAUGAAAGGUGGCCUCUACAUGUAAGCUAUCACUGAAGGAGGGGAGUGCGGCUGAUUAGCUCGUUGGCGGGGUAACGUCCCACCAAGGCGAGGAUCAGUAGCCGGUCUGAGAGGAUGGACGGCCACAUUGGGACUGAGACACGGCCCAGACUCCUACGGGAGGCAGCAGUGGGGAAUCUUCCGCAAUAGACGAAAGUCUGACGGAGCAACGCCGCGUGAGGGAUGACGGCCUUCGGGUUGUAAAGCUCUGUUAAUCGGGACGAAAGGCCUUCUUGCGAAUAGUGAGAAGGAUUGACGGUACCGGAAUAGAAAGCCACGGCUAACUACGUG
Molecule: ribosomal RNA, 510 nt
Filed under: uncultured bacterium
Lineage: Bacteria
Description: partial 16S ribosomal RNA
Rfam family: Bacterial small subunit ribosomal RNA
Source: RNAcentral